UACGUAGGGUGCAAGCGUUAAUCGGAAUUCCUGGGCGUAAAGCGUGCGCAGGCGGUUUUCUAAGUCAGAUGUGAAAUCCCCGGGCUCAACCUGGGAACUGCAUUUGUGACUGUAGAGCUGGAGUACGGUAGAGGGGGAUGGAAUUCCGCGUGUAGCAGUGAAAUGCGUAGAUAUGCGGAGGAACACCGAUGGCGAAGGCAAUCCCCUGGACCUGUACUGACGCUCAUGCACGAAAGCGUGGGGAGCAAACAGG
This 253-nucleotide ribosomal RNA is filed under the name uncultured bacterium. RNAcentral describes it as "partial 16S ribosomal RNA". It matches the Rfam family "Bacterial small subunit ribosomal RNA", at positions 524 to 776 of the family's 1533-position model. The record is from RNAcentral.